UCUGAUGUUAGCGGCGGACGGGUGAGUAACACGUGGGUAACCUACCUAUAAGACUGGGAUAACUCCGGGAAACCGGGGCUAAUACCGGAUAAUAUUUUGAACCGCAUGGUUCAAUAGUGAAAGACGGUUUCGGCUGUCACUUAUGGAUGGACCCGCGCCGUAUUAGCUAGUUGGUGAGGUAACGGCUUACCAAGGCGACGAUGCGUAGCCGACCUGAGAGGGUGAUCGGCCACACUGGAACUGAGACACGGCCCAGACUCCUACGGGAGGCAGCAGUAGGGAAUCUUCCGCAAUGGGCGAAAGCCUGACGGAGCAACGCCGCGUGAGUGAUGAAGGUCUUCGGAUCGUAAAACUCUGUUGUUAGGGAAGAACAAAUUUGUUAGGAACUGACCGGGUCUUGACGGUACCUAACCAAAAAGCCACGGCUAACUACGUGCCAGCAGCCGCGGUAAUACGUAGGUGGCAAGCGUUAUCCGGAAUUAUUGGGCGUAAAGCGCGCGUAG
Molecule: ribosomal RNA, 503 nt
Filed under: Mammaliicoccus sciuri
Lineage: Bacteria; Bacillati; Bacillota; Bacilli; Caryophanales; Staphylococcaceae
Description: bacterial SSU rRNA
Rfam family: Bacterial small subunit ribosomal RNA
Source: RNAcentral